AUUGAACGCUGGCGGCAUGCCUUACACAUGCAAGUCGAACGGCAGCGCGGGAGCAAUCCUGGCGGCGAGUGGCGAACGGGUGAGUAAUAUAUCGGAACGUGCCCAGUAGUGGGGGAUAGCCCGGCGAAAGCCGGAUUAAUACCGCAUGAGACCUGAGGGUGAAAGCGGGGGAUCGCAAGACCUCGCGCUAUUGGAGCGGCCGAUAUCAGAUUAGCUAGUUGGUGGGGUAAAGGCCUACCAAGGCAACGAUCUGUAGUUGGUCUGAGAGGACGACCAGCCACACUGGGACUGAGACACGGCCCAGACUCCUACGGGAGGCAGCAGUGGGGAAUUUUGGACAAUGGGCGCAAGCCUGAUCCAGCAAUGCCGCGUGAGUGAAGAAGGCCUCGG
Molecule: ribosomal RNA, 390 nt
Filed under: uncultured bacterium
Lineage: Bacteria
Description: bacterial SSU rRNA
Rfam family: Bacterial small subunit ribosomal RNA
Source: RNAcentral